UGCUCUAUUGGUUUUUUUUCU
This 21-nucleotide non-coding RNA is filed under the name Caenorhabditis elegans. Lineage: Eukaryota; Metazoa; Nematoda; Chromadorea; Rhabditida; Rhabditidae. The record is from RNAcentral.